Molecule: ribosomal RNA, 253 nt
Filed under: uncultured bacterium
Lineage: Bacteria
Description: partial 16S ribosomal RNA
Rfam family: Bacterial small subunit ribosomal RNA
Source: RNAcentral
GACGAACCGUGCGAACGUUGUUCGGAAUCAUUGGGCGUAAAGCGCGUGUAGGCGGCCAGAAAAGUCCGCUGUGAAAACUCGAGGCUCAACUUCGAGCUGUCGGUGGAAACUUUCUGGCUAGAGUCCGGAAGAGGAGAAUGGAAUUCCUGGUGUAGCGGUGAAAUGCGCAGAUAUCAGGAAGAACACCCGUGGCGAAGGCGGUUCUCUGGGACGGUACUGACGCUGAGACGCGAAAGCGUGGGGAGCGAACAGG